RNAcentral lists this long non-coding RNA (239 nucleotides) under Elaeis guineensis (African oil palm). RNAcentral describes it as "long non-coding RNA (EGUI_LNC031370)". The record is from RNAcentral. Lineage: Eukaryota; Viridiplantae; Streptophyta; Magnoliopsida; Arecales; Arecaceae.
CCGGCAUGAUGCCAUCCUGUCCCAAGCUCUUACCUCAAUAAUCUAUGAUGGAUGUUCGGCUUUCACCCAUUUGAUGAUGUGGUCGGUCACCACGAUUGGGAACUAUCUUUGUCUUGAUGCCACCAAGGAUGUCCACACUCAUAGAACAAAAUUUCUCGCAUCCUUUCACACCGAACAUUAAUGACCACGAAGCUUGUCACUUAAUCCUCUUUGCCUUCUACCCCCCUUUGCUGCCAGCA